RNAcentral lists this long non-coding RNA (3740 nucleotides) under Arabidopsis lyrata. RNAcentral describes it as "long non-coding RNA (ALYR_LNC000168)". Lineage: Eukaryota; Viridiplantae; Streptophyta; Magnoliopsida; Brassicales; Brassicaceae. The record is from RNAcentral.
CAGCUAACCAUAUCAAGGAUCUCUUCUCACCCCUCCCAGAAGAAGAUGAGGAAGAAGAUGAAGAGGAUUUAGAAGGUGAAGAUGAUGAAGAAUUUGGAGGCCAUAGCGAAUCUGACACCGAGGUUCCAAGCUGAUGAUCGAUGGAAAGAAUCCGACAUUGAUCAGUCAUAAUCUUGAGUUGUUGCGACAUUUUUAUUUCGGUGUCUUCAGAUUUUUUUAGAGUGUAAUGUUUUUUUCCAGAUCGUAGUUGUUAUCCUAAACAGAGAUAUUUCACUAAAAGUUAGGGUUUACUAGAGGAUGUAAUCUUUAGGGUUCUAUGACUUGUGUCUUUCUUUCUAUCCCCAAGUGGUUGUUGUAGAACUUCAAAACUUAGUGUGUGUUCAAACUCUCUCCUUAAAUCAACUCUUCAAUGACUUUAUUUUGAAACUCGACUGAAUUUUAUUGAUUCAUCUUUUAUAGAAUCUACCAACUAUAGUACAUUCUACAACUAUCCCAUUUAUAAAUGUGUUCAUUUAAUUGACAUAUUACCCUUUAUCAUGUUACUUUAAACCAUCUUAGCUUGUUCAGUAGUAUUCGGCCAGUUAUAAAAUACCUGAUAGUACCAGAUACUUUUGUUAGUUUAUAGUAUAUUUUUAUGUUCGUUCCCUUGUAUAUUUCAGAAAUUGAACAUUGAUUUUUCUUUUUUUUUUGAAUCAACCACACAUUAAUAUUAAUAAUAAUCUCAAAUAGUUCUGGUUGACGCAAUGGAACAUUUCAGUGUCAUAUACCGAUCUUGUUGGUAAUAAAUCUACUGCCGAUGAAAUAAGUGAUAGGCGCCCAUAUUUAUAAGGUAGAGAGACAAUUAAAUAACACAUGAUUAAUCAUUUUUUCACUUACUCCACAUAUUUGACAACUUGUGUCACAAUUAAUUUUUCUUUGGAACAACCUCAAAUAAAAUGUUUUAAUUUCGCAGGACAAUGGUUUUCGAAGCUUGUGCUUUUGAAGCAUUAAAGCUUGAUAACCAACCAGAUUGACCAAAACCUAGCCAAGUUAGAAACGCUUUUAAAAAAAUCACAUUCUAUUCGAUAAUACACUUUAUUGAUGCAUGAGUUCAUAUUCGUUAGAUGUUUCACAAACGAAGAUCUCUCACUAAAAUAUCGAGGUUGAUUAGAGGGUGUAAUCUUUAGGGUUCUUUGACUUGUUUGUUAUUUUCUAUCCCAAGUGGUUGUUGUACUAGAAGUGCAAAAAACUUAUGAUUUUAAACUCUCUUCUUCAAUCAACUCUUCAAGGACUACAUUUUAAUACUCAAUUAAAUUGUAUUAAUUCGUCUUUAUAGAAUCUAUCUACAAUUUACAACUACUCGAUUUAUAACCAUGUGUUCACUGAAGUGACAUAUUUACAUUAUUAUGUAUUUAUGCUACUUUAAAGUUUGAACGCACUAGUAGUUGUAUUCAAGUAGUUAUAGAUACCUCAUGGUUCCAGUAACCAUUUACUGUUUUUUUCGCCUGUUAAUAUUUCAAAAAAAUAAAUGAAUAUCGAAGUUACAUUCUAAAUUUUAUAAUUUUGAAUUCAUCGAAAUUUAGCAACAAACAUAAACAUAAAUAUGAUGUAAUAUAAUUUGUUUAAUUUUCUAUCUAGCUUAAUAUUUCAUCGAGGUAAUAUUUUCUAUCUACGUUCAUUGAAUUGACAUGUUAACUAUAUUUUGUACUACUUUUAAACGCACUAGUAUUCAACUAGUUUUUUCUUGUAAAAUAUUUAAGAAAAAUGAAUAUCAAAUGUGCAUUCCUAAAUAUUAAAUUUUGAAUUAAAAUAGCAAACAAACUAAAAUGUGAUGUGGUAUAAUUUGACUGAUUUGUUUUUCUAUGUUAAUAUCUCAUUGACUAUAUAGAAACUAUAGUAGAUAACUUUCCGAAUAAAAGACUAAAACGAAUAUCUAAAAAUAAAAAAAAAAUGUUAAGACAUACUGUGGUAAAAAUCUCAAAACAAUUUUAAACCAUCCUGGUGUUAUUUUAAAUUCUAGGUUUUGUUGAUUAAAGAAAAAGGUACAUAAUUCGAGGUUUUAAAUUCUUUUGGGUGACAUUUUUUUGGGUCAAAUUGUAAAGUUUUAGUCAUUUGAUCUAUAUCUGAAAUUAAAUUAGACUUUUGGUAAUGCAAUCUUCUUGUUCUGAAUAGAGUGUUGUACUCAAAUUUGUUUUGUUAAGCAAGUGAAUAAAACAUUUGUAGGCAACUUUGCUAAUACUGGGACUCUAAGAAUUUGAUCAAAUCUCCAAUACAUAGUGGCUAACAAAGUGACAAUUAGGCCAUGGCACAAUACCCGAACCCGAAGAACCGAACCGAAUCCGAAGUUUUAAAAUACCCGAACGAGUUCUAAACUUCACAACCCGAAAAUCCGAACCCGAAUCCGAACAAGUAUCCGAACAUACCCGAAAUAUAAGUACAUAGUUAUAAUAUAAUAGUAAUAUUUAUACUUGUAAUAACCUAAGCACCUAAAUUAUUCGGAUGUUAAGAUAUUUUCGGGUGUUUUAGCUACUUUUGGCUAGAUUCGGAUAAAAAAUAUUUGGGUUAUAGAUUUUUUUCAAUACUUUGCAUAGAAUCGAAGACAAAUUUUGUAAUAUUUGGAUACUUCGGAUAAAUCCGAAUCCGAACCCGAAAUACUCGACCCAAACCCGAAAUUUUAAAAUACCCGAACGGGUCUUAGUUUUCUAAACCCAAAAAACCCGAAUCCGAAAAACCCGACCCGAAUAUCCGAAUGCCGAGACCUAAUUGACAAUGAUAUGAAUCAACUUCAAUAUGAUAGAAGAGAAAAUUCAUAAAAGUUCAUAACAAAAUCUUCAAAAAUAACAAGAAAACUAAUACAUCUACAAGCCUAGCUCCAAGAAUUGACAUUCGCAUAAUAAAUAACAAAAUUAGUUUUUACCAAUUCAAGAAUGACUUGUAUAAAGAGAAGUUGCAAUUUCAAGUAAACAACUAAAAAUGUUGGAUAUCGUCCUUAGGUGGCAAGUGUUUUAAAUAAUCUGAAUAAAUCCAAUUUGGUUUAAGACAUCAUAUCAUCUUUGUCGGAUUUAUUCAUAUGUUAGCUUUGUUUUUCUAAUUGACUUAUGGAUUUGAUGAACUAGAAAGAUGCCUUUUUCUCUCGGUCGAACAAACCAAAAUUGUAAUCUUUCACCAACCAAACUAAAUUGCAUCUACACAAAAUUACGCAACUCAUGCAUAUACUAUUAAAAAUUAUAACGUGAUUUAUUUCUUUUUGUAUUGUAUAAUGUUCUUUUUGGUUGGUUGCAAUAGGUUUAGGCGUAUUUUAAUUUUAUUUUAUCAGAGAACUAUUGCUGCAAAUUAUCCACAUGUACAAAAUCAUUUUUGAAUCGGAUCAGAAAAUAUAUGAUAUGUUUUCUAACUUGAUAUGUGUUGGUUUCAGUGUCGUUUUGCAUUUGUUUCGUUUAGUAACUUUGUUUGAUAGUAAAAGUUUUCUUUUAACAAUAAAAAAAAUUAAUUUUGAUUUGAUACAAAAGAUUUAGGGGUGAGUUACACUUUGCCAUACUUUUCUUGUCUUUGAUAACAAAAUAGACACUUUCCCAGAUUUUCAAAAAAAAUCAAUACGACUUUGCCCUUGUGUGUGCUAGAGGAUAAAUAUGUUAUCCUCUUUUUUAUGUUAUCAGAUCUGAUGAGAAAAAGUGUCUUUCUUCGUCUCUAGAACCAUAUAUCCCUCUCUAAAAAAAUCCCUAUAGUCAAGAGGAAGGUGUAAGUUGUCACCAAAAAAUUAU